This is a long non-coding RNA of Ahaetulla prasina, 244 nucleotides long. RefSeq lists it as uncharacterized. The transcript is spliced from 3 exons. Lineage: Eukaryota; Metazoa; Chordata; Lepidosauria; Squamata; Colubridae. The record is from RefSeq and is a predicted model, not a curated record.
UUCUCACAACAGCCAAUUGGAUGCCAAUGAAAAUUCACAAAGAGAACAAGAUGUGGAUUUCCAGCUAUCCAGAUUCUGAUUUUCAAGAAUAGCCAACUGGGUGCCAAUGAAAAGAUGACAACAUGUUGUGGUUGCAAGCUGCCCAGAGUCUGGUUUUCAAGAUCUGCAGGUUAGAAGUCCUAGACAGAUAUCAGCAAGGCUUCAAAGGAUAAACCUGCUGCAUUGCCAAUUUACUGUAUAUGUG